UACGGGGGGGGCAAGCGUUGUUCGGAAUUACUGGGCGUAAAGGGCUCGUAGGCGGCCAACUAAGUCAGACGUGAAAUCCCCAGCUUAACCUGGGAACUGCGUCUGAUACUGGAUGGCUUGAAUUCGGGAGAGGGAUGCAGAAUUCCAGGUGUAGCGGUGAAAUGCGUAGAUAUCUGGAGGAAUACCGGUGGCGAAGGCGGCAUCCUGGACCGAGAUUGACGCUGAUGAGCGAAAGCUAGGGGAGCAAACGGGG
This 253-nucleotide ribosomal RNA is filed under the name uncultured bacterium. RNAcentral's name for it is "partial 16S ribosomal RNA". It matches the Rfam family "Bacterial small subunit ribosomal RNA", at positions 524 to 777 of the family's 1533-position model. The record is from RNAcentral.